AAGCAUUAGAGCUCUUUUAGAAUUUGUCCAGCACGUUUUCUGAUUUUUACUAGAACUCCCUC
This 62-nucleotide small nuclear RNA is filed under the name Aotus nancymaae (Ma's night monkey). Its description in RNAcentral is "U7 small nuclear RNA (ENSANAG00000006133.1)". It matches the Rfam family "U7 small nuclear RNA". From Rfam's summary of the family: Animal histone pre-mRNAs are spliced by a different mechanism than nuclear pre-mRNAs and self-splicing introns. This processing involves the U7 snRNP, which contains only one RNA species: U7. The 5' end of U7 RNA is thought to base-pair to a conserved spacer element downstream of the cleavage site in histone pre-mRNA. The record is from Rfam by way of RNAcentral. Lineage: Eukaryota; Metazoa; Chordata; Mammalia; Primates; Aotidae.